GACGAACGCUGGCGGCGUGCUUAACACAUGCAAGUCGAACGGAAAGGCCCUGCUUUUGUGGGGUGCUCGAGUGGCGAACGGGUGAGUAACACGUGAGUAACCUGCCCUUGACCUUGGGAUAACCUCAGGACACUGGGUCUCAUACCGGAUAGGAGCUCCUGCUGCAUGGUGGGGGUUGGAAAGUUUCGGCGGUUGGGGAUGGACUCGCGGCUUAUCAGCUUGUUGGUGGGGUAGUGGCUUACCAAGGCUUUGACGGGUGGCAGGGCUGAGAGGCUGACCGGCCACAUUGGGACUGAGAUGCGGCCCAGACUCCUACGGGAGGCAGCGGUGGGGAAUAGUGCAUAAUGGGCGGAGGGCUGAUGCAGUAACGCCGCGUGCGGGAUGACGGGCUUCGGGUUGUGACCCGCUUUCGCCUGUGACGAAGCGUGAGUGACGGUAAUGGGUAAAGAAGCACCGGCUAACUACGUG
Molecule: ribosomal RNA, 468 nt
Filed under: uncultured bacterium
Lineage: Bacteria
Description: partial 16S ribosomal RNA
Rfam family: Bacterial small subunit ribosomal RNA
Source: RNAcentral